AUAUGAGCAACCCCCACUCUGAGACAUGAGCUCAGAGUGAGUGGGUCCCUUCGGACAGGUGGCGAGGAGGCAUCCCUCAUGCAUGUGGUGAGAGUGAUGAGGAACCACUACCAUCUGCACAGUGGUGAUAGAACCUCAAGAAUGCACUUAACAAGGUAAGACAGCCAUGAAUGCAUAGUUCUUAUUUGAAAUAAUUACUUGAGCAUUAUUUCAUUUCUUUGAAUAAUAUCAUCACAACUAACUGUAUUCUCCUUCUUCUUUGGGUCGUCAGCACUUUACAGCCUCCUGUGCACUCACAAAAAACAGUUACUAAAGAAAAGACUCCAAACUUCAGAUGAGGACCAACACAAAUAAAUUCCUUUCCUGUCUGAAAGAAAACAAACCCUGAAAAGUGUACUUUUAUAAUUUUUCCUUUUCAAAAUAUUCCUGUUAUCAGUAACAUGUCUGUUAAAUUUAUUUUUCAAUUACUUUGUUCUUAAUUGUUUGUGUUUACUUUCAUUCAUGUCUGUGAACUGCAGACUAGAAAUAUACUAUUUUUCAUUGGUGUCAGCUUUAUUCUAAGUACACACUUACAAGUAAGUCUGUACUUAAAAUAAGGAUUACUAUUAAAACUAUUUAAAUAUUGUAUUAUUUUGUACUUGAGCUAUACCAUCUGGAACUAUCCUAAAAUUUCAUUGUGUGACAUCUAAGCCUUCUUCAGUCAAAAGUACCAAGAAAAAAUGGUAUACAGUCUUUUAGAAUUCCAGCCCUGAACAAGGCCAUCAGUGCUAAAAAAAAAAA
This is a long non-coding RNA of Oryzias melastigma (Indian medaka), 780 nucleotides long. RefSeq lists it as uncharacterized. The record is from RefSeq and is a predicted model, not a curated record. The transcript has 2 exons. NCBI's taxonomy places the organism in Eukaryota, Metazoa, Chordata, Actinopteri, Beloniformes, Adrianichthyidae.